GCGCCGAUAGUGUAGUGGUUAUCACUAUGCGUUGCCAACGCAUAAACUCGGGUUCGAAUCCCGGUCGGCGCA
Molecule: transfer RNA, 72 nt
Filed under: Methanotrichaceae archaeon
Lineage: Archaea; Methanobacteriati; Methanobacteriota; Methanomicrobia; Methanotrichales; Methanotrichaceae
Description: tRNA-Gly
Rfam family: tRNA
About the family: Transfer RNA (tRNA) molecules are approximately 80 nucleotides in length. Their secondary structure includes four short double-helical elements and three loops (D, anti-codon, and T loops).
Source: RNAcentral